RNAcentral lists this unclassified non-coding RNA (337 nucleotides) under soil metagenome. RNAcentral describes it as "partial contains 5.8S ribosomal RNA, internal transcribed spacer 2, and large subunit ribosomal RNA". The stretch from base 1 to 120 matches the Rfam family "5.8S ribosomal RNA", at positions 35 to 154 of the family's 154-position model. The record is from RNAcentral.
GAUGAAGAACGCAGUGAAAUGCGAUAAGUAAUGUGAAUUGCAGAAUUCAGUGAAUCAUCGAAUCUUUGAACGCACAUUGCGCCCCUUGGUAUUCCAUGGGGCAUGCCUGUUCGAGCGUCAUUUGUACCUUCAAGCUCUGCUUGGUGUUGGGUGUUUGUCUCGCCUCUGCGUGUAGACUCGCCUUAAAACAAUUGGCAGCCGGCGUAUUGAUUUCGGAGCGCAGUACAUCUCGCGCUUUGCACUCAUAACGACGACGUCCAAAAGUACAUUUUUACACUCUUGACCUCGGAUCAGGUAGGGAUACCCGCUGAACUUAAGCAUAUCAAUAAGCGGAGGA